GAUGAACGCUGGCGGCGUGCCUAAUACAUGCAAGUCGAGCGAACAGACGAGAGUGCUUGCACUCUCUGACGUUAGCGGCGGACGGGUGAGGAACACGUGGGUAACCUACCUAUAAGACUGGGAUAACUUCGGGAAACCGGAGCUAAUACCGGAUAAUAUUUAGCUUCGCAUGAAGCAAUAGUGAAGGACGGUUCUGCUGUCACUUUUAGAUGGACCCGCGGUGUAUUAGCUAGUUGGUGAGGUAACGGCUCACCAAGGCAACGAUACAUAGCCGACCUGAGAGGGUGAUCGGCCACACUGGGACUGAGACACGGCCCAGACUCCUACGGGAGGCAGCAGUAGGGAAUCUUCCGCAAUGGACGAAAGUCUGACGGAGCAAUGCCGCGUGAGUGAAGAAGGUUUUCGGAUCGUAAAACUCUGUUGUAAGGGAAGAACAAGUACGUUAGUAACUGAACGUACCUUGACGGUACCUUACCAGAAAGCCACGGCUAACUACGUG
RNAcentral lists this ribosomal RNA (499 nucleotides) under uncultured bacterium. Its description in RNAcentral is "partial 16S ribosomal RNA". It matches the Rfam family "Bacterial small subunit ribosomal RNA", at positions 28 to 507 of the family's 1533-position model. The record is from RNAcentral.